CCUACGGGAGGCAGCAGUCGAGAAUCAUUCACAAUGGGGGAAACCCUGAUGGUGCGACGCCGCGUGGGGGAAUGAAGGUCUUCGGAUUGUAAACCCCUGUCAUGUGGGAGCAAAUUAAAAAGAUAGUACCACAAGAGGAAGAGACGGCUAACUCUGUGCCAGCAGCCGCGGUAAUACAGAGGUCUCAAGCGUUGUUCGGAAUCACUGGGCGUAAAGGGUGCGUAGGCUGUUUCGUAAGUCGUGUGUGAAAGGCGCGGGCUCAACCCGCGGACGGCACAUGAUACUGGGAGACUAGAGUAAUGGAGAGGGAACCGGAAUUCGCGGUGUAGCAGUGAAAUGCGUAGAUAUCGAGAGGAACACUCGUGGCGAAGGCAGGUUCCUGGACAUUAACUGACGCUGAGGCACGAAGGCCAGGGGAGCGAAAGGGAUUAGAUACCCGGGUAGUC
RNAcentral lists this ribosomal RNA (446 nucleotides) under uncultured bacterium. RNAcentral describes it as "partial 16S ribosomal RNA". It matches the Rfam family "Bacterial small subunit ribosomal RNA", at positions 338 to 795 of the family's 1533-position model. The record is from RNAcentral.